GAAAUGCGAUAAGUAGUGUGAAUUGCAGAAUUCAGUGAAUCAUCGAAUCUUUGAACGCACAUUGCGCCCUUUGGUAUUCCAAAGGGCAUGCCUGUUCGAGCGUCAUUUGUACCCUCAAGCUUUGCUUGGUGUUGGGCGUCUUGUCUCUAGCUUUGCUGGAGACUCGCCUUAAAGUAAUUGGCAGCCGGCCUACUGGUUUCGGAGCGCAGCACAAGUCGCACUCUCUUUCAGCAAAGGUCUAGCAUCCAUUAAGCCUUUUUUCAACUUUUGACCUCGGAUCAGGUAGGGAUACCCGCUGAACUUAAGC
This 307-nucleotide unclassified non-coding RNA is filed under the name plant metagenome. Its description in RNAcentral is "partial contains 5.8S ribosomal RNA, internal transcribed spacer 2, and large subunit ribosomal RNA". The stretch from base 1 to 105 matches the Rfam family "5.8S ribosomal RNA", at positions 50 to 154 of the family's 154-position model. The record is from RNAcentral.